RNAcentral lists this ribosomal RNA (425 nucleotides) under uncultured bacterium. RNAcentral describes it as "bacterial SSU rRNA". It matches the Rfam family "Bacterial small subunit ribosomal RNA", at positions 355 to 796 of the family's 1533-position model. The record is from RNAcentral.
GGAGGAAUAUUGGUCAAUGGACGCAAGUCUGAACCAGCAACGCCGCGUGAAGGACGAAGGCCUUCGGGUCGUAAACUUCUUUUGAGGGAGACGAGCAAGGACGGUAUCCCUCGAAUCAGCCACGGCUAACUACGUGCCAGCAGCCGCGGUAAAACGUAGGUGGCGAGCGUUAUCCGGAUUCAUUGGGCGUAAAGAGCUUGUAGGCGGCCGCAUAAGUUGGACGUGAAAACUCCGGGCUUAACUUGGAGAGGCCGUUCAAUACUGUGAGGCUGGAGGGUGUCAGAGGGAAGUAGAAUUCCUGGUGUAGCAGUGAAAUGCGUAGAUAUCAGGAGGAAUACCCGUGGCGAAGGCGGCUUCCUGGGGCACCACUGACGCUGAGAAGCGAAAGCUAGGGGAGCAAACGGGAUUAGAUACCCCCGUAGUCC